Molecule: ribosomal RNA, 500 nt
Filed under: uncultured bacterium
Lineage: Bacteria
Description: partial 16S ribosomal RNA
Rfam family: Bacterial small subunit ribosomal RNA
Source: RNAcentral
AUUGAACGCUGGCGGCAGGCCUAACACAUGCAAGUCGAGCGGAUGAGUGGAGCUUGCUCCAUGAUUCAGCGGCGGACGGGUGAGUAAUGCCUAGGAAUCUGCCUAUUAGUGGGGGACAACGUUUCGAAAGGAACGCUAAUACCGCAUACGUCCUACGGGAGAAAGCAGGGGACCUUCGGGCCUUGCGCUAAUAGAUGAGCCUAGGUCGGAUUAGCUAGUUGGUGAGGUAAUGGCUCACCAAGGCGACGAUCCGUAACUGGUCUGAGAGGAUGAUCAGUCACACUGGAACUGAGACACGGUCCAGACUCCUACGGGAGGCAGCAGUGGGGAAUAUUGGACAAUGGGCGAAAGCCUGAUCCAGCCAUGCCGCGUGUGUGAAGAAGGUCUUCGGAUUGUAAAGCACUUUAAGUUGGGAGGAAGGGUUGUACGUUAAUACCGUGCAAUUUUGACGUUACCGACAGAGUAAGCACCGGCUAACUCUGUGCCAGCAGCCGCAGUAA